GAUGAAGAACGCAGCGAAAUGCGAUAAGUAAUGUGAAUUGCAGAAUUCAGUGAAUCAUCGAAUCUUUGAACGCACAUUGCGCCCGCCAGUAUUCUGGCGGGCAUGCCUGUUCGAGCGUCAUUACAACCCUCAGGCCCCCGGGCCUGGCGUUGGGGAUCGGCGGAAGCCCCCUGCGGGCACAACGCCGUCCCCCAAAUACAGUGGCGGUCCCGCCGCAGCUUCCAUUGCGUAGUAGCUAACACCUCGCAACUGGAGAGCGGCGCGGCCACGCCGUAAAACACCCAACUUCUGAAUGUUGACCUCGAAGCAGGUAGGAAUACCCGCUGAACUUAAGCAUAUCAAUAAGCGGAGGA
Molecule: unclassified non-coding RNA, 353 nt
Filed under: soil metagenome
Description: partial contains 5.8S ribosomal RNA, internal transcribed spacer 2, and large subunit ribosomal RNA
Rfam family: 5.8S ribosomal RNA (bases 1-120)
Source: RNAcentral